This 1971-nucleotide long non-coding RNA is filed under the name Rattus norvegicus (Norway rat). Its description in RNAcentral is "long non-coding RNA NONRATT018055". The stretch from base 1131 to 1260 matches the Rfam family "Small nucleolar RNA SNORA65". The record is from RNAcentral. Lineage: Eukaryota; Metazoa; Chordata; Mammalia; Rodentia; Muridae.
GCCUAUAUCCGGCGUGGGCGGAGCAACAUCCGUCUUUUCGGCUUUCGGUUCGGAGGAGGCAACGGUGCAACUUUCUUCGGUCGUCCCGAAUCCGGGUUCAUCCGACACCAGCCACCUCCACCAUGCCGCCCAAGUUCGACCCCAACGAGAUCAAAGUCGGUGCGUGCCCUCGCCCCGCCCGGGCUGCCGGUGGAACCUUUUCUGCCGCGUGCUGUCCCGGGGCCUGGCGGGUCUCCCUUGGGCCUUGUCCUCCUCGUGUGUGAGCUGGGAGGGAGUCCCGACGAUCUGGCAGCCUGCGUGCCUUAGGGUAAGGCCUGGCCCUGGAGGUCUGCGGCCCGACGGCAGCGCGCAGGGCGGCCUGCGGCGCACUCCGCAGAGGUUCUGACUUUGCUUUUUCUCAGUGUACUUGAGGUGCACCGGAGGCGAGGUCGGCGCCACAUCCGCCUUGGCCCCUAAGAUCGGUCCUCUGGGUCUGUCUCCCAAAAAAGUUGGUGAUGACAUCGCCAAGGCUACCGGUGACUGGAAAGGCCUCAGGAUUACAGUGAAACUGACCAUCCAGAACAGACAGGCCCAGGUAUUUCCGUUGGCUAGUGCGUGGGAGGGCUGAGGUAGCAUCCCUCAGGAAUUGUGGACAAAAAGAUACUGCUGUUCUGAUGAAUCGAUUGUAUCUGUGGGGAGGCAUAUAAGACAAAUAUUCGUUGUACGUGAGUCUGCCAUGCACGACUCUGCUGCUCAGGCCGGACAGAAAGUACUUUAAUCAGCCGAGUAGUCCUGCUGGCUCCUUUAACAUGCCUGGUUGUAGUAUUGUUACUGGGUUUCCUGGGCUGUGUUCAUAUCAAGUCUCUUUGCAGAUUGAGGUGGUGCCCUCUGCCUCUGCCCUGAUCAUCAAAGCCCUCAAGGAGCCACCAAGAGACAGGAAGAAGCAGAAAAACAGUAAGUUGAUUCCAGUGUCUUGGUGUCCAGUGUCUGCUACUCGGCUGUGUUGAUCCAUUUCGUGGAACCUAGGGUUGGAAUGAGAUCACAUUGGGCCAUUUGCUGCAUGCCUCCAGAGAUGACUAGUGCCCCAGGGUUGGUUGACAUUCCACCCUUGGCCUCAGGGAUUUAAGCUUGUCUGUUUCUAUCCCUAGCCACCCGCCACUGCACCUGACCAGUAUUAUUGGCUGGUGCAAUCCAGUGGUGAGCUGACAGUAAGCCCCAGCUUUUAGGAAACAGGGUUGUCCUACAUGUGGGUGACUCUGUGCCGAAAGCGUGGGGACAGCCUAGACAUAAGAUGGGACCAUGAUCUUUGCUCAGAAGAUAGGCGGAAGCUUUAAAAAGCCCUUGGGUUUUCUCUCUGCAGUUAAACACAAUGGAAACAUAACUUUUGAUGAGAUUGUCAACAUUGCCCGGCAGAUGAGACACCGGUCUUUGGCCAGAGAACUUUCUGGUAAGAGCAAGUUUUGCUGUUGAAGAUCCAAGAUUUGGAUCCAGUAUCUUUUGAACUUGUGGAGCCAUGCUCUUCCCUCUGUUCAAUGGGACUCUGGGGUUCCCCCUUCCCCUGGGAUCUGAGGCCACCAUUCUCACUGUAGGAACUAUCAAGGAGAUCCUGGGUACUGCACAGUCUGUGGGCUGCAAUGUGGACGGCCGCCACCCUCAUGACAUCAUAGAUGACAUCAACAGCGGUGCGGUGGAGUGCCCAGCUGUGAGUGACUUUGCUGUUAUAUUGGAGGAAAGCUGUUAGGGUGGGGGAAAGCUGGCCUUUUGUUGCCCCUUGUGUCUUAUAGGGGCAUUGUUAAUUCUGUAUUUAUAUUCCCCAUUGUGACUGACAAUUUUUCUUCUCUUUCCCACAGAGUUAAGAAGCAACGAGAAGGGGUUGGGAAUUUAGCUCAGUGGUAGAGCGCUUGCCAAGCCCAAGGCCCUGGGUUCAGUCCCCAGCUCCGGAAAAAAAAAAGCAACAAGAAAAUAUUUAAAUAAAAGACUAUCUGAUAAACC